AGUAACGGCGAGUGAAGCGGCAGCAGCCCAGAUUUGAUCUGGUCCUUUUGGGGCCCGAGUUGUAAUCUGCAGAGGAAGGUCUGGUGCGGUGCGGCCUAGUUCCCUGGAACGGGACGCCGUAGAGGGUGACAGCCCCGUACGGUCGGCCACCAAACCUGUGUGUCGCUCCUUCGAAGAGUCGCGUAGUUUGGGAAUGCUGCGCAAAGUGGGAGGUAUGCUCCUCCUAAGGCUAAAUACCGGCCAGAGACCGAUAGCGCACAAGUAGAGUGAUCGAAAGAUGAAAAGCACCUUGAAAAUGGGGUUAAAAAGUACGUGAAAUUGCCAAAGGGGAAGCGCUCGUGGCCAGACUCGUGCCUUAGGAUCAUCCGGCUAUUUCGCCGGUGCACUCCAUUAGGCUCGGGCCAGCGUCGGUGGCGCCGGUACUAAAAGACGCGCGAACGUGGCUCUCUUCGGGGAGUGUUAUAGCGCGCUGUGUAAUGUGCUGGCGCCGUCCGAGGACCGCGCAUUUAUGCAAGGACGCUGGCGUAAUGGCCACUAGCGACCCGUCUUGAAACACGGACCAAGGAGUCGCCCAGAGACGCGAGUGUGCGGGUGACAAACCCCUGCGCGAAGUGAAAGCGAACGCUGGUGGGAACCCUCACGGGUGCACCACCGACCGAUCCUGAUGUCUUCGGAUGGAUUUGAGUAUGAGCGUUUCUGGUCGGACCCGAAAGAGGGUGAACUAUGCUUGGGUAGGGUGAAGCCAGAGGAAACUC
RNAcentral lists this ribosomal RNA (755 nucleotides) under Melanospora sp. NY-2019. RNAcentral's name for it is "partial 18S ribosomal RNA". It matches the Rfam family "Eukaryotic large subunit ribosomal RNA", at positions 82 to 864 of the family's 3401-position model. The record is from RNAcentral. Lineage: Eukaryota; Fungi; Ascomycota; Sordariomycetes; Coronophorales; Ceratostomataceae.